RNAcentral lists this ribosomal RNA (466 nucleotides) under uncultured bacterium. Its description in RNAcentral is "bacterial SSU rRNA". It matches the Rfam family "Bacterial small subunit ribosomal RNA", at positions 338 to 795 of the family's 1533-position model. The record is from RNAcentral.
CCUACGGGGGGCAGCAGUGAGGAAUAUUGCGCAAUGGGGGAAACCCUGACGCAGCGACGCCGCGUGGAUGAUGAAGGCCCUUGGGUCGUAAAAUCCUGUCAGAUGGAAAGAAAUGCUAUAAUGCUAAUAUCAUUAUAGUUUGACGGUACCAUCAAAGGAAGCACCGGCUAACUCCGUGCCAGCAGCCGCGGUAAUACGGAGGGUGCAAGCGUUGUUCGGAAUUACUGGGCGUAAAGCGCGCGUAGGUGGCUGUUUAAGUCAGAUGUGAAAGUCCACGGCUCAACCGUGGAAGUGCAUUUGAAACUGGAUAGCUUGAGUAUUGGAGGGGGUAGUGGAAUUCCCGGUGUAGAGGUGAAAUUCGUAGAUAUCGGGAGGAAUACCGGUGGCGAAGGCGACUACCUGGCCAAAUACUGACACUGAGGUGCGAAAGCGUGGGGAGCAAACAGGAUUAGAUACCCCCGUAGUC